GCAGAUUAUGGCUUCAAGGUUGUUUUUUUACACCUUCACUGGGCCUGGAAAACAUUCCUAAAGGAUUCUGGCUGUCCACUAAGGGGAAGCGAAAUGGCCCGGCUUCUCUUUCCCGUCUGCCAACAAGCCGAGGAACGCCGCCCGAGCCUUCUGCUACCGUUCUUGCUUUUCUCUCCUUCCCACCCCCUCCACCGUCCCUCCGGCCAGGCCGGGUUUGGAAUCCCCCUCCGGCCCAUUGGCCUCGGGCCAGAGAGACGCGACAGGUGUGUUGGGAGACAGGCUCCAGAGGUCAAGGGGAAAAGGCAGCGAAAGCUCCAGAGAAGCUGGCCAGCAGCGCUCCGGGCACCUGAUCCUGAGCUUUUGGGGGAGAGAGGCCAGUAGGACUGCACACGG
Molecule: long non-coding RNA, 393 nt
Filed under: Equus caballus (horse)
Lineage: Eukaryota; Metazoa; Chordata; Mammalia; Perissodactyla; Equidae
Description: lncRNA (ENSECAG00000055322.1)
Source: RNAcentral